RNAcentral lists this ribosomal RNA (386 nucleotides) under uncultured soil bacterium. Its description in RNAcentral is "bacterial SSU rRNA". It matches the Rfam family "Bacterial small subunit ribosomal RNA", at positions 26 to 415 of the family's 1533-position model. The record is from RNAcentral.
AGAUUGAACGCUGGCGGCAUGCUUUACACAUGCAAGUCGAACGGUAACAGGCCGCAAGGUGCUGACGAGUGGCGAACGGGUGAGUAAUGCAUCGGAACGUGCCCAGUCGUGGGGGAUAACGCAGCGAAAGCUGUGCUAAUACCGCAUACGAUCUAUGGAUGAAAGCGGGGGACCGAAAGGCCUCGCGCGAUUGGAGCGGCCGAUGUCAGAUUAGCUAGUUGGUGGGGUAAAGGCCCACCAAGGCGACGAUCUGUAGCUGGUCUGAGAGGACGACCAGCCACACUGGAACUGAGACACGGUCCAGACUCCUACGGGAGGCAGCAGUGGGGAAUUUUGGACAAUGGGCGCAAGCCUGAUCCAGCAAUGCCGCGUGCGAGGAAGAAGGG